Molecule: ribosomal RNA, 612 nt
Filed under: Lysinibacillus sp.
Lineage: Bacteria; Bacillati; Bacillota; Bacilli; Caryophanales; Bacillaceae
Description: bacterial SSU rRNA
Rfam family: Bacterial small subunit ribosomal RNA
Source: RNAcentral
GCUACACAUGCAGUCGAGCGACUCUAUCAAGGAUCUUGCUCCUUUGACGUUAGCGGCGGACGGAUGAUUACCACGUGGGCAACCUACCUUAUAGUUUGGGAUAACUCCGGGAAACCGGGGCUAAUACCGAAUAAUCUGUUUCACCUCAUGGUGAAAUAUUGAAAGACGGUUUCGGCUGUCGCUAUAGGAUGGGCCCGCGGCGCAUUAUCUAUUUGGUGAGGUAACGGCUCACCAAGGCGACAAUGCGUAGCCGACCUGAGAGGGUGAUCGGCCACCCUGGGACUGAGACGCGGCCCAGACUCCUACGGGAGGCAGCAGUACGGAAUCUUCCACAAUGGGCGAAAGCCUGAUGGAUCAACGCCGCGUGAGUGAAGAAGGAUUUCGGUUCGUAAAACUCUGUUGUAAGGGAAGAACAAGUACCGUAGUAACUGGCUGUACCUUGACGGUACCUUAUUAUAAAGCCACGGCUAACUACGUGCCACCAACCGCGGUAAUACAUAGGUGGCAAGCGUUGUCCGGAAUUAUUGUGCGUAAAGCGCGCGCAAGUGGUUUCUUAAGUCUGAUGUGAAAGCCCACGGCUCAACCGUGGAGGGUCAUUGAAAACUGGGAGAC